GAUUCUGGCUCAGGAUGAACGCUGGCGGCGUGCUUAACACAUGCAAGUCGAACGGAGUUUUAACGGAAGUUUCGGAUGGAAGUUUAGAAACUUAGUGGCGGACGGGUGAGUAACGCGUGGGUAACCUGCCUCAUACAGGGGGAUAACAGUUAGAAAUGACUGCUAACACCGCAUAAUAUAGCGAAACCGCAUGAUUUUGCUAUCAAAUAUUUAUAGGUAUGAGAUGGGCCCGCGUCUGAUUAGCUAGUUGGUGGGUAAAAGCCUACCAAGGCGACGAUCAGUAGCCGGCUUGAGAGAGUGACCGGCCACAUGGGACUGAGACACGGCCCAAACUCCUACGGGAGGCAGCAGUGGGGAAUAUUGGACAAUGGGGGAAACCCUGAUCCAGCCGACGCCGCGUGAGUGAAGAAGUAUUUCGGUAUGUAAAGCUCUAUCAGCAGGGAAGAUAAUGACAGUACCUGACUAAGAAGCCCCGGCUAACUACGUGCCAGCCGCCGC
This 498-nucleotide ribosomal RNA is filed under the name uncultured bacterium. RNAcentral's name for it is "bacterial SSU rRNA". It matches the Rfam family "Bacterial small subunit ribosomal RNA", at positions 15 to 518 of the family's 1533-position model. The record is from RNAcentral.